Molecule: unclassified non-coding RNA, 362 nt
Filed under: fungal sp.
Lineage: Eukaryota; Fungi
Description: partial internal transcribed spacer region
Rfam family: Eukaryotic small subunit ribosomal RNA (bases 1-45)
Source: RNAcentral
AGUCGUAACAAGGUAUCCGUAGGUGAACCUGCGGAUGGAUCAUUAACAAAGGUGUAUUUGAAGUUGUGUGAACAGUUGGAGGUGGUGGUGGUGGUGGUAUUGGAUGGUACUGGGUGGUAUUGGAUGGUACUGGGUGGUAUUGGGUGGUAUUGGGUGGUAUUGAGUGGUGUAACCUUGGUCUAACCUUGGUCUAACCUUGGUCAACCUCACUCAACCUCACUCAACCUCACUCAACCUCACUCAACCUCACUCUCCCAACCUCACUCUCCCAACCUCCACCACUCCGUCCCUAUAAUGUAUACAAACUGAUGUCUGCUAGUUUCAAACUAAAACAACUUUUAGCAACGGAUCUCUUGGCUCUC